AGUGAACGCUGGCGGUAGGCCUAACACAUGCAAGUCGAACGGCAGCACAGAGGAGCUUGCUCCUUGGGUGGCGAGUGAUGGACGGGUGAGGAAUACAUCGGAAUCUACUCUGUCGUGGGGGAUAACGUAGGGAAACUUACGCUAAUACCGCAUACGACCUACGGGUGAAAGCAGGGGAUCUUCGGACCUUGCGCGAUUGAAUGAGCCGAUGUCGGAUUAGCUAGUUGGCGGGGUAAAGGCCCACCAAGGCGACGAUCCGUAGCUGGUCUGAGAGGAGGAUCAGCCACACUGGAACUGAGACACGGUCCAGACUCCUACGGGAGGCAGCAGUGGGGAAUAUUGGACAAUGGGCGCAAGCAUGGUUCAGCCCUACCGCGUGGGUGAAGAAGGCCUUCGAGUUGUAAAGCCCUUUUGUUGGGAAAGAAAUCCAUCUGGUUAAUACCCGGGUGGGAUGACGGUACCCAAAGAAUAAGCACCGGCUAACUUCGUGCCAGCCGCCGCCGUAA
Molecule: ribosomal RNA, 506 nt
Filed under: uncultured bacterium
Lineage: Bacteria
Description: partial 16S ribosomal RNA
Rfam family: Bacterial small subunit ribosomal RNA
Source: RNAcentral